UCACUGUCCGUUUCUACAUGAGAAGUAA
Molecule: non-coding RNA, 28 nt
Filed under: Bombyx mori (domestic silkworm)
Lineage: Eukaryota; Metazoa; Arthropoda; Insecta; Lepidoptera; Bombycidae
Source: RNAcentral